Molecule: long non-coding RNA, 2300 nt
Organism: Equus caballus (horse)
Lineage: Eukaryota; Metazoa; Chordata; Mammalia; Perissodactyla; Equidae
Source: Ensembl
CUGCAGCCCGCACGUACGGCGGGCAGCUCGCGAGCACGGUGACUGCCCGGGAAAACCGAAAAAGCCGUCAGCCUCUUUCCAAACUGGACGCUGGAGGUGCAGAGGAACUGGAGCUUAAUGUCAAAUCCUGGCAGAAGAUGUCGAAAGAAAAACACUGGCUCCCACUGAACUCACGGAAGGCGGAUGUUCGUAUCUGCAGCCCCAGGGUAACGCGGCGGGCAGUAACUGGUUCCCGUAGCUUCGCCCCGUGCGCUUGUGAUAUUGUACGUUCACAGACGACAUUGUCAUCUCCGAUUUUCAAAUGAGAAGGUGGAGGUUCCACAAGAUAAAGUGACUUGCCCAAAUUCACACAGCUGGUACACAGAGGAGCCAGGAUCUGAACCUCAGUUUCCAUUGCCGAGAGACCUCUGCUUUUUCAAGUGCACCAUUUAGCUUCCCAACUAUUUCUCUCUAACUAUGGCGGAAAAUGAGGUAUUCCCUCCCAAAAAAUGCAGCUCCUAAGGAAGAGGCUAAGCUUGGCAGCAUCUUUGGAAGAUGUGGAUGACUUUCCUGGGGAACUACUUGGAAAGAUUAAUGCAAAACUCACUGGAUGAAGGGGCUGGCCCUGUGGCCGAGUGGUUAAGAUCACGCGCUCUGCUUCAGCGGCCCGGAGUUCACUGGUUCAGAUCCUGAGUGCAGACCUGAGCACCACUCAUCAAGCCAUGCUGAGGUGGCGUCCCACAAAGAAGAAUUAGAAGGACCUACAACUAGAAUAUACAACUAUGUACUGGGGCUUUGGGGUGGGGGAGGGGGGAAGAGGAAGAUUGGCAACAGAUGUUAGCUUAGGGCCAAUCUUCCUCACCAGAAAGUAUACUUUAAAAAAAACUUUCUAGAUGAGUUAAUGUGAUCCUUUCAGUGAAAACUGGUCUAAUUACUUUAUAGUCGUAUCAUCCAUUUGGCCUUUAAAUGUGACAAAUGCCAGAUUUGAAGGAAUCUUAGCACCAAUAGGAAGUGAUGAGAAGCUCAAAAGAAAUGCUGGUGGUGAACCAUUUCUCAAGUUAGAGCACACCAGAAGAGGUACUGGUCAAAAGAAACUGUCAUUCAUUCAUUCAUUCAGUUGUGUAUAUCUCAGUCAUCAAAAACCUGAUAUGAGUACAGCACUGUUCUAGGCUCUGCAUAUGAACAUUAAGUAAUGCCCUCAAAGCACUCCUUGUCAUACGGAGCCCCCGGAAAGGCAAACAGUUGCAGAGCAGUGGUGUAAAUACUGCAGCAAAACCAUGUCACAGGUGCACUGUGUUGAAAUGCCCACUAGCCCGGAUCUUGGCCAGUUUGUCUUUAGAGCCGUUCUCUGCCCUGCCCUCUGCUCUGUGUUGCUAGGGGCUGACUCUAGCAGGCUGAGUUUCACAGACUCCUGAAUCCAUUGGCCAAUGGCUGGGUAUGGUCAAUGGGAGGCACUGGAGGGAGAGUGCAAGUGGGAAGAAAGGAGAAGCCGGGGAAUUUCUUCACCUCCCUCUUGCCUCUGGUAGCAUCUCCAGUAGUGGCUGGAUCUGGCUGAGGCUCCUGCCAGGUGACCCAGCCCCUGGCUUAGGUAACACCACCACUUCCUGUUAACUCUCCAGUUUAGGGAUGUUAAUGGCUUUCUGCUGAAAUUACUUUUGGGGUAGCUUCACCUUCCUCUGUUUGCAUCUCACAUCCUCCAUCACCUGUGUGAGCAAUCCCCUGUGUUAAAUUCCUUCUGUGCAUAUCAGCAGAUUCCAAGGGAAGGGCAUCUUACAAAAGGCCUGGGAAGUACUCCUCAAAACUAUCUAGAUCAUUGGGGCUGGCCCCGUGGCCGAGUGGUUAAGUUCGUGCACUCUGCUGCAGGCGGCCCAGUGUUUCGUUGGUUCGAAUCCUGGGCGCGGACAUGGCACUGCUCAUCAAACCACACUGAGGCAGCGUCCCACAUGCCACAACUAGAAGGACCCACAACGAAGAAUAUACAACUAUGUACCGGGGGGCUUUGGGGAGAAAAAGGAAAAAAUAAAAUCUUUAAAAAAAAAAAAAACUAUCUAGAUCAUUAAAAACCAGGACAUGAUGGAGAAACCGUUACAGCAAAGAGGAACUCAAGGAGAAAUGACAAUUAAAUGUAUUGUAUGCUGGAUGGGAUCCUGGGACCGAAAAAGGACAUCAGGUAAAAACUAAGGAAAUCCGAAUAAAGUGUGGACUUUAGCUAGUAAUAAAGUAUGAAUAUUGGUUCAUUAAUUAUAACAAAUGUACCAUCCAUUCACAGGUAUGAUGUUUGUAAUAGGGGAAAUUGGGUAUGACGCAUGAGGGAACUCUCU